Molecule: small nuclear RNA, 107 nt
Organism: Cervus hanglu yarkandensis (Yarkand deer)
Lineage: Eukaryota; Metazoa; Chordata; Mammalia; Artiodactyla; Cervidae
Source: Ensembl
GUGCUCACUUUGGUGGCACAUAUACUAAAAUUGGAAUGAUACAGGGAAGAUUAGCAGGGCCUCUGCACAAGGAUGACAUGCAAAUUUGUGAAGCAUUCCAUAUUUUU